UGAGCAACCUGCCCCAGACUCAGGGAUAAACCCCGGGGAAAACCGGGGCUAAUACCCGAUACUCCGGUCGAACCACAUGGCUCGAUCGGGAAAGCUCCGACGGUCUGGGAUGGGCCCGCGGCCUAUCAGCUUGUUGGUGUGGGUAAUGGCCCACCAAGGCGACGACGGGUAGCCGGCCUGAGAGGGCGACCGGCCACACUGGGACUGAGACACGGCCCAGACUCCGUACGGGAG
Molecule: ribosomal RNA, 234 nt
Filed under: uncultured bacterium
Lineage: Bacteria
Description: partial 16S ribosomal RNA
Rfam family: Bacterial small subunit ribosomal RNA
Source: RNAcentral